RNAcentral lists this ribosomal RNA (636 nucleotides) under Triticum aestivum (bread wheat). Its description in RNAcentral is "partial small subunit ribosomal RNA". Lineage: Eukaryota; Viridiplantae; Streptophyta; Magnoliopsida; Poales; Poaceae. The record is from RNAcentral.
CUUAGGCUCGAAGUACAAGAGGGGGAGGCCGUAGAAGCACGAACUGGGGGAGCACGGACAAAGGAUGAUGGGCGAGCACGACGUCGAGGUGGACCAGCGGCGGAGGAGCAAGCACCGGAGUAGGACGACCAGGAGGGCCGGCGGCGCCAAACCCUAGCCCGGCGCAUGCCUCAUCUCGGCAGUUCGGGAGAGAUGCCAAGUAGAUGGUGCUGCGAGAGGAGAAUGCGUGGAUGGAUAGACCACAUUUGGGCGGCGCUGGGAAUGAAGCGAACGGCGGACGAGAUCUGAGGAUACUUGACAGGGGCGAAGGGCUCGGCGACGGGGCCGGCCGGCGGGGAAUUAGAUCCGUGUUAGUUGGUGCUCGGCGGCGCUACGGUGGGGUGCUGGGGGCGACGCCGGCAAUGGUCGGAGUGGCGGUGGUUGCAGGGCGGCGGCGAGGGCACAUCGCGGUUGGGGGCGGCGGCGAGGGCACAAUAGACUCGAUUUGGGGGCAAUUUGGAAGAAGAUUCUGGGAGAUUGGGGCCGAGUCUAUACUUCCUUCGAUGCCAAAAUUUUUGCCUCUCGCGGGCCUACCCUCGCUAGCGCGCGCCUUGGCCCAAUAUUAUUUCGGUCUCCCGCUGAAAUACUACAGUCCCC